UACGUAGGGUGCAAGCGUUGUCCGGAAUUAUUGGGCGUAAAGAGCUCGUAGGCGGUCUGUCGCGUCGGAUGUGAAAAUCCAGGGCUCAACCCUGGACCUGCAUUCGAUACGGGCAGACUAGAGUUCGGUAGGGGAGACUGGAAUUCCUGGUGUAGCGGUGAAAUGCGCAGAUAUCAGGAGGAACACCGGUGGCGAAGGCGGGUCUCUGGGCCGUAACUGACGCUGAGGAGCGAAAGCGUGGGGAGCGAACAGG
RNAcentral lists this ribosomal RNA (253 nucleotides) under uncultured bacterium. Its description in RNAcentral is "partial 16S ribosomal RNA". It matches the Rfam family "Bacterial small subunit ribosomal RNA", at positions 524 to 776 of the family's 1533-position model. The record is from RNAcentral.